Molecule: long non-coding RNA, 211 nt
Filed under: Ananas comosus (pineapple)
Lineage: Eukaryota; Viridiplantae; Streptophyta; Magnoliopsida; Poales; Bromeliaceae
Description: long non-coding RNA (ACOM_LNC016461)
Source: RNAcentral
ACCGCAGUCCCCUCUCCGGCGUCCCAUGCUGCUUACUCUAUUUAUAAACCCCUUGCCCUCCUCCAUGCACCCGUCGCAUUUUUUUCCAACACUCUUCGUUGCGCUAGGUGUUUGCAAAAGAGAAGUGGAAGUAGUGCGGCAUGGAGGGGGAAGAGUGGUUUAGGGUUAGUAAGUGGAGAAGAAGGAUAAGUUGUGUAUUUGCAAUGAGAUA